This 72-nucleotide ribosomal RNA is filed under the name uncultured bacterium. Its description in RNAcentral is "partial 16S ribosomal RNA". It matches the Rfam family "Bacterial small subunit ribosomal RNA", at positions 284 to 354 of the family's 1533-position model. The record is from RNAcentral.
UAGACCGGCCUGAGAGGGUGAACGGCCACACUGGGACUGAGACACGGCCCAAACUCCUACGGGAGGCAGCAG